CAGUAGCCGCGGUAAUACGAAGGGUGCAAGCGUUAAUCGGAAUUACUGGGCGUAAAGCGUGCGUAGGCGGUGAGUUAAGUCUGCUGUGAAAUCCCCGGGCUCAACCUGGGAAUGGCAGUGGAUACUGGCUCGCUAGAGUGUGUCAGAGGAUGGUGGAAUUCCCGGUGUAGCGGUGAAAUGCGUAGAGAUCGGGAGGAACAUCAGUGGCGAAGGCGGCCAUCUGGGACAACACUGACGCUGAGGCACGAAAGCGUGGGGAGCAAACAGGAUUAGAGACCCGCGUAGUCCCUGUCUCUUAUAC
Molecule: ribosomal RNA, 301 nt
Filed under: uncultured bacterium
Lineage: Bacteria
Description: partial 16S ribosomal RNA
Rfam family: Bacterial small subunit ribosomal RNA
Source: RNAcentral